This 1252-nucleotide long non-coding RNA is filed under the name Homo sapiens (human). RNAcentral describes it as "HSALNT0322133". Lineage: Eukaryota; Metazoa; Chordata; Mammalia; Primates; Hominidae. The record is from RNAcentral.
CUGCAUAGGGUGUGACUAUCAGGAACCAUGGCUCACUGGAGCACCAUCUUUGGAGUCUAGCUAACACAGCAUCUUGGAUGCACUCCUAAGAGAAGACUACCUGAAAGGCGUGUACACUGGUCUAGCAGUUGAGAUCAGCUAGUGUUCCAUCUAUCUUCUGUCAUGUAUCUCUUCUAAGAUGUCUUGAUCGACUGACCCCAAAGCCAGAGGGUACCAGGUCAAAAAGCAAGAAAACAAACAAUACUGACAUUAGAGAGAAGCAAAGUUUCUAUAGAAAACCUAUUACACUGUGGUAUAAAUCAAGAUGAACCUGCAGACAUCUAUUUUAGUUUGGAAGUCUGGAAAAGUUCAAGAUUGGCCAUCUGCAGCUGGUGAGAGCCUCAGGCUGCUUCCCCUCAUGGUGGAAGGUGAAGGGGAGCUGGUGUGUGCAGAGAUUACAUGCUUUUCUAGGUCAUCAUUCUAGGCUUUGUUGAAGCAUGCAUUUUUGGCAUGAGGGUGGCAGCCUUUGCACUAUGUGCAUGGCUGAGGAGUUAGGAUCUGGAGGGUGAUGAAAGCAAAGGUGCUGCUGGUUACUCUUGGUUCAUCUAGCAAUAGAUGAUCUGAAUGUUAGAGUUCGCCAAAUAUUGUUCCUGGGCAGUCUUUGCUCUACCAAAUCAACUUUCUCCAUGGGGGAGCUAGAAGUCACCCCACAUUCUCCGCCAUGGCCAGCUCUACAUUCUAAGAGAACCAAUGGCUCUACCCAACAUAUUCUUCUCACCACAGAUGACAAAGACACAAGGAGCCAAGACAGAUCAUUCAAGCAUAUUCAUUGCCUCUAUCUUCAUCCCAUUAAAUAACAUCCCGCCAACCAAAGCAAGUUAUCUGCAUAAGAAUAAAUAUUCCACCUACUCUACUGCAAGGCCCUGCAAGAGUCAUGAGACAAAAGGAUCCUCUGUGGACAGCACCCAAGAUGGAAACAACUGACAGUCUAUGGCCAGGGCUAUACUCUGGUGAAACUGAAAGGUGUCUGCAUGGAAGUGUCUGACUACCACCAUCCACUCAGGCAAAUGCAUUUGUUUCCCUCUAUUCAUUAUUAGAAGAGAGGAGAUUACAUACCAGACAUAUACCAAUAGGUUUUCUCUUCAUAAUACCUACGUCAUCUAGUAGCAUAACAUAAGGCAGAAUCCUUCAAAGGUUGACUCCUAGAGAUGGAAGAGCUGUAAGCAGAGACAGAAAAGUAUGUUUUCACACAAACUCUUUGGCUCAUUAGCAG